CCUACGGGAGGCAGCAGUGAGGAAUAUUGGUCAAUGGGCGGAAGCCUGAACCAGCCAAGUAGCGUGCAGGAUGACGGCCCUACGGGUUGUAAACUGCUUUUAUACGGGAAUAACGCGCCUUACGUGUAGGGCUUUGCAUGUACCGUAUGAAUAAGGACCGGCUAAUUCCGUGCCAGCAGCCGCGGUAAUACGGAAGGUCCGGGCGUUAUCCGGAUUUAUUGGGUUUAAAGGGAGCGUAGGCCGCAUGUCAAGCCAGCUGUGAAAUUUUCGGGCUCAACCCGGGCAUUGCAGCGGAAACUGGCAGUCUUGAGUCCGGGAGAGGCAGGCGGAAUUCGUGGUGUAGCGGUGAAAUGCUUAGAUAUGACGAAGAACCCCGAUUGCGAAGGCAGCUUGCUGCAGCGGAACUGACGCUGAUGCUCGAAAGCGCGGGUAUCGAACAGGAUUAGAUACCCUUGUAGUC
This 460-nucleotide ribosomal RNA is filed under the name uncultured bacterium. RNAcentral describes it as "partial 16S ribosomal RNA". It matches the Rfam family "Bacterial small subunit ribosomal RNA", at positions 338 to 795 of the family's 1533-position model. The record is from RNAcentral.